AUUCGUCGUCCACUUUGAGCUCCACAAGGUAGGAGCCAUCUCCCACAUCUGUUACUGGUGGUCGUGACUUCCAGUUGGGACCUGUUUUCCAGGGGAUCAAAGCUCUGGAUGCGUUUAGCGUCUUUCAAGUGUAACGUACCUGAGAGAUCUGUCUCGAAGAAAUCUCCUCCAAAGCACCGCCUACUUCCAUCGCCAGCAUACGAGACGAUCCAGAGCUUGUGAAGAACACCGGUGGACAAGGUAACCUCGCCUUCAUUCUCUGCUCUGGGAAGCCCAAACAGGAUCGCAGCUGCGGUACUCACGUUGUGGCAUUCCCGUGUGCCGUUCUCAGAUAAGCGCUGGAGCAAAACUUUGGACGGGAAAGAAGAAGAAGAAGAAGAAGAGCUCGUUGGAAUGGAAGA
This 401-nucleotide long non-coding RNA is filed under the name Selaginella moellendorffii. Its description in RNAcentral is "long non-coding RNA (SMOE_LNC000905)". Lineage: Eukaryota; Viridiplantae; Streptophyta; Lycopodiopsida; Selaginellales; Selaginellaceae. The record is from RNAcentral.